ACACAUGCAAGUCGAGGGGCAGCAUGGUCUUAGCUUGCUAAGGCCGAUGGCGACCGGCGCACGGGUGAGUAACACGUAUCCAACCUGCCGUCUACUCUUGGACAGCCUUCUGAAAGGAAGAUUAAUACAAGAUGGCAUCAUGAGUCCGCAUGUUCACAUGAUUAAAGGUAUUCCGGUAGACGAUGGGGAUGCGUUCCAUUAGAUAGUAGGCGGGGUAACGGCCCACCUAGUCUUCGAUGGAUAGGGGUUCUGAGAGGAAGGUCCCCCACAUUGGAACUGAGACACGGUCCAAACUCCUACGGGAGGCAGCAGUGAGGAAUAUUGGUCAAUGGGCGAGAGCCUGAACCAGCCAAGUAGCGUGAAGGAUGACUGCCCUAUGGGUUGUAAACUUCUUUUAUAAAGGAAUAAAGUCGGGUAUGGAUACCCGUUUGCAUGUACUUUAUGAAUAAGGAUCGGCUAACUCCGUGCCAGCAGCCGCGGUAAUACGGAGGAUCCGAGCGUUAUCCGGAUUUAUUGGGUUUAAAGGGAGCGUAGGCGGACGCUUAAGUCAGUUGUGAAAGUUUGCGGCUCAACCGUAAAAUUGCAGUUGAUACUGGGUGUCUUGAGUACAGUAGAGGCAGGCGGAAUUCGUGGUGUAGCGGUGAAAUGCUUAGAUAUCACGAAGAACUCCGAUUGCGAAGGCAGCCUGCUGGACUGUAACUGACGCUGAUGCUCGAAAGUGUGGGUAUCAAACAGGAUUAGAUACCCUGGUAGUCCACACAGUAAACGAUGAAUACUCGCUGUUUGCGAUAUACAGUAAGCGGCCAAGCGAAAGCGUUAAGUAUUCCACCUGGGGGAGUACGCCGGCAACGGUGAAACUCAAAGGAAUUGACGGGGCCCGCACAA
Molecule: ribosomal RNA, 885 nt
Filed under: uncultured bacterium
Lineage: Bacteria
Description: bacterial SSU rRNA
Rfam family: Bacterial small subunit ribosomal RNA
Source: RNAcentral